RNAcentral lists this non-coding RNA (585 nucleotides) under Pan troglodytes (chimpanzee). Lineage: Eukaryota; Metazoa; Chordata; Mammalia; Primates; Hominidae. The record is from RNAcentral.
AGUGUCAUGGGACAGUGGGCCCUGGUGCCACAAUGCCUGGCAUCUCCACCAGAUACAGCUUUGAGAUCUUCAUGAUGAAGCUUGCUCCAAUCCAAGGGCUGUCAGGUGGGGUUUGCGGUUCAGCUGCUAACCUUUCUUUGAUCCAAAUCCUGUCUUCACUGGCUUCAAGAAUCCUGUCUUCACUGGCUUCAAAACUGGGAUGAAGGAGGCUCCUUAGUGGAGAGCAAAGCAAAGAGAAACUCAAAUUGGAUUCAUAUUAAAGAAGAGAAGGAUGGAUUUGUUUAGACAACACAAACCUAGGAAGGGUUUGAGGGGUGAAACAAACUGGGUUAUGGAUGAACGGGGGCAAUUGGAAUGUAGAAUUGAAACAGUAGUUAACAUCUUGGUUUCAUCUGGGUGUUUGGCAUCAUGUUCAGAAAUGCGAAAAAUAAAAUUCAGCACCGUUAUUACUGAAUUAGAUAAAAUGAUUGUAUUUAAUUAAUCCGUAAAUAUUAAUUAUUCUGUUUACCAUAACAUGUAAUGAAUAUAAUUCUCCACCAGGCAAAUAAAGAAAGAAAGAUGUAAUUAGGUGAUUUAAGCAUAAAA